GUUAGGACAGGAAGAGAACCCAGAGCUUCCAGUCCCUGGAUCCUAGAGAGCAAUACAGCCUCUUCCCUUUCCUCAUCGUAGCUACCCAGUGAAUAAAUCCCUCGUUCUACCUCAUUCAGAUCAACUUCAGUGCCUGUUGUUUGCAACCCACAGUGUCCCAAUUCAGGACUUGGGAACUGUUUUCCUUUUCAUGGAUUGUGUAGAACUGAAAGGGAUACGUCAUUCUCAGAACUUAUAUUCUUGUUCCGAUGUGCCAGCUGUACUUAAAAAUAAAAGAAUCCCAGACCCAUCUCCAUGUUCACCACCACCCCUCCUGUUAAUUUCCUGCUGAAUUGCAGCUCAACGCAUGUGCUGGGAUUUCAAGUCCUGCCCUAAUCAAUUUACUACCACCUCCCCAACCUUAACCCCAACCUACACGCACCUUCCUACGCUGGCCUGUGCGUGCAGCCUGCCCUGGCCUCUACUGUGACGCCUACCACGUUAUAUUUGUAAUGAUUUGUUUAUGACUGUCCCCAUACUAGGGAAGGCAUCGAGCUUGAGGAAGAGGCCCCAUUCAUCUCCGUACCCCAGGCCCUGGUACACAGCAGGCAGGUAGCAAGUAUGGGAGGGAGGUGGGGGAGGAAGAAGGGGGAAAAAAGGGAGUUCCUUCCUAUUUUCUCUCUAGUCCAACCAAUGUGUCACUCAUAGGCUCAAGUUCUGUAUUCGUUCCCUAUACCUGUCUACCUGUUUUCCUUUUUCCCUUUUUUUUUUUUUAAUGGAGUUUCGCUCUUGUUGUCCAGGCUGGAGUGCAAUGGCGCGUUCUCAGCUCACUGCAACCUCCGCCUCCUGGGUUCAUGCAAUUCUCCUGCCUCAGCCUCCCCAGUAGCUGGGAUUACAGGCGUG
RNAcentral lists this long non-coding RNA (882 nucleotides) under Homo sapiens (human). Its description in RNAcentral is "non-protein coding MIR193BHG:27". The record is from RNAcentral. Lineage: Eukaryota; Metazoa; Chordata; Mammalia; Primates; Hominidae.